RNAcentral lists this ribosomal RNA (469 nucleotides) under uncultured bacterium. Its description in RNAcentral is "partial 16S ribosomal RNA". It matches the Rfam family "Bacterial small subunit ribosomal RNA", at positions 28 to 507 of the family's 1533-position model. The record is from RNAcentral.
GAUGAACGCUGGCGGCGUGCUUAACACAUGCAAGUCGAACGGUGAACCCGGAGCUUGCUCUGUGGGAUCAGUGGCGAACGGGUGAGUAACACGUGAGCAACCUGCCCCUGACUCUGGGAUAAGCGCUGGAAACGGCGUCUAAUACGGGAUAUGUGACGUGACCGCAUGGUCUGCGUUUGGAAAGAUUUUUCGGUUGGGGAUGGGCUCGCGGCCUAUCAGCUUGUUGGUGAGGUAAUGGCUCACCAAGGCGUCGACGGGUAGCCGGCCUGAGAGGGUGACCGGCCACACUGGGACUGAGACACGGCCCAGACUCCUACGGGAGGCAGCAGUGGGGAAUAUUGCACAAUGGGCGCAAGCCUGAUGCAGCAACGCCGCGUGAGGGAUGACGGCCUUCGGGUUGUAAACCUCUUUUAGCAGGGAAGAAGCGAAAGUGACGGUACCUGCAGAAAAAGCGCCGGCUAACUACGUG